AUGACACUUAUAUUCAUGGAACAUGAUCUCGCAAAGGCUAGAAAUAUGAAACUAGUUCUUUACCUUUUUGAACAAUUGUCGGGGUUAAAAAUUAAUUUUCACAAGAGCGAAUUGUUUUGCUUUGGAAGAGCCAAAGAAGAACAAGAUGCAUAUAGACAAUUGUUCGGUUGUGAAAUGGGUUCCUUGCCAUUUAGAUACCUCGGAAUUCCAAUUCACCAUCGUAGAUUAUCAAAUAAAGAAUGGAAAUGCAUUGAAGAUCGAUCUGAAAAAAAGUUAAGCUGCUGGAAGGGCAAGCUUAUGUCUUAUGGAGGUCGGCUUGUGUUAAUAAAUUCAGUAUUAACAAGUACAUCGAUGUUCCUGCUAACUUUCUUUGAAGUACCUAUAGGGGUACGGAAAAGGUUAGACUUCUAUCGAUCUUGUUUUUUCUGA
This 429-nucleotide ribosomal RNA is filed under the name Triticum aestivum (bread wheat). RNAcentral's name for it is "partial small subunit ribosomal RNA". The record is from RNAcentral. Lineage: Eukaryota; Viridiplantae; Streptophyta; Magnoliopsida; Poales; Poaceae.